This 655-nucleotide ribosomal RNA is filed under the name uncultured bacterium. Its description in RNAcentral is "bacterial SSU rRNA". It matches the Rfam family "Bacterial small subunit ribosomal RNA", at positions 821 to 1471 of the family's 1533-position model. The record is from RNAcentral.
UGUGGGGGACAUUCCACGUUUUCCGCGCCGUAGCUAACGCAUUAAGUGCCCCGCCUGGGGAGUACGGCCGCAAGGCUAAAACUCAAAGGAAUUGACGGGGGCCCGCACAAGCGGCGGAGCAUGCGGAUUAAUUCGAUGCAACGCGAAGAACCUUACCAAGGCUUGACAUACACCGGACCGCCCUAGAGAUAGGGUUUCCCUUCGGGGCUGGUGUACAGGUGGUGCAUGGUUGUCGUCAGCUCGUGUCGUGAGAUGUUGGGUUAAGUCCCGCAACGAGCGCAACCCUUGUCCUAUGUUGCCAGCACGUAAUGGUGGGGACUCAUGGGAGACUGCCGGGGUCAACUCGGAGGAAGGUGGGGAUGACGUCAAAUCAUCAUGCCCCUUAUGUCUUGGGCUUCACGCAUGCUACAAUGGCCGGUACAGUGGGUUGCGAUACUGUGAGGUGGAGCUAAUCCCUAAAAGCCGGUCUCAGUUCGGAUCGAAGUCUGCAACUCGACUUCGUGAAGUUGGAGUCGCUAGUAAUCGCAGAUCAGCAAUGCUGCGGUGAAUACGUUCCCGGGCCUUGUACACACCGCCCGUCAAGUCACGAAAGUUGGUAACACCCGAAGCCGGUGGCCCAACCCUUGUGGGGGGAGCCGUCGAAAGGUGGGGCUGG